Long non-coding RNA from Hemicordylus capensis (graceful crag lizard), 8716 nucleotides. RefSeq lists it as uncharacterized. Lineage: Eukaryota; Metazoa; Chordata; Lepidosauria; Squamata; Cordylidae. The record is from RefSeq and is a predicted model, not a curated record. The transcript is spliced from 3 exons.
CAGCAGAGGGAACUCUUUGGAGGAAGCAGCGUCUGUUUCCCACCAACGUUGCUUGUACAGCGCCUAACUUUUGGCAUUAUAUUGUUAUUAUUAUUGUUGCCUUCCACAGCCUUGAAAGGAAGAGACGCCAUAUGAAUAUUUGCAGAGAUAUUUGCAAAUUUGAAAAUAAAAUAGAGAGCCAGGCCCAUAGCUGGGGGGGCGGCCGGGCGCUAGGCCUCCACAGGCCCCCUAACUCGAAGGUUGCCAAUUUCUAACUAAAGCUAUUCCUGGAUAUUUCUGCUCUACCCUCAAUACAUUUUAUAACAUCUUGCCAUUAAGCUCUCCAUGAUAGUUUUCAUUGGUGACCUGGAGCUUUCUCACCCAGGGGCUUUACCCCGAAUCUCCUCUGGAAGGGAGGGUAUUUGUUGUUCUCUCCUGCCGAGCUCCAUUCAUUGCUUCAGAAGAUCUCCUUUAACAACAGUGCUGGAGAUGAAAUUGCCUUUCACAAAAAUGGAGAAGUAGCAGCUGGAUUUGAUGUUACAAAUUUGGUGACUUUCCAAAAUAAAUCCUAUGUCAGAGUGAAAAUUGGGAAACUGGAUCCUCAGGCUCCUCCAGGAAAAGUGCUCACCAUUGAUGAGGAGAUGAUCCAAUGGCACAGAGCUUUCACCCAGGGGGUUGCCAUUCUGUUCCCACUGGAUGAUGACGUCUUCAGGGAAUAACGCAUAGACUGUGCAAGUGAUGAAAGACAGUGAUGCGGCAGACUUGAGGUUCACACUGGGGAGCUGGUAGAAAGAUGCAUUGGGGCUGGUGCUCACGCCUUGUCCUGUUUGGUGAGAAAGGAAAGUAGUAGAAAGAGUGAAAGAGACAGAGAGAGACUGUUGAAUCAAUUAGGUCAAAUUAGUGGAAGGCAUGUGGUGAGCUGGGAUUCUGAAGGGAGGCGAUGGGGUGUAGUUCAGAGUGAUCCUGCAGGGCCAACAAAACACAGAGUCAGCAAUUGUUGCCUGGAUCCAGGCCAUCUCAGGGACAUCUGUCAUGUGGCAGUGCUACAUAUUGUGCUUACAGCUAUCUGUAUGCCUGUUCAUUUUUUGUGCAAAUGACUGCACCUGUGAUCAUUUUAAAAGAGACUCUGGGUACAAGUCCCGUCAAAUGCAGGGGCAGACAGGAAGUGUGGCCAAUAGGGAUGCGCACAAAUCAAUUUUUUUGAUUAAAUUUGUGCUCAAAUCAAAUCGCCCCUGAUUUGUUUUGUGUCCAGAUCUAACCCCCCCUCCAAAUCACCCCAGAUUCAAUUUGUAUUUGAAUCAAUUUGAUUCAGACUUGGAUCAAUUUGGACCACUUAACAAUGUCCUAGGGGCCCCAAAUUGGCAUGGUAGGUAGGUUCCCAUGGGUGCCACCUACCAUCCAGGUUUUAAGGUUUUGGGUACAUGGUUGAUUUUUAAUUAUUUUUUUUAGUUUUUAAUGAUUUUGUAUAUUUCUGCCAUAGGAAAUAAUGGGGAUUCAAAGUCGCCAUAUCCUAACCCUAAUAUAGCUCCCCAGCUUUCAUUUUUUAAAAGAAAGCUCUAGCCCUUAUAGAAGCAGAGUUAUGGGGCAAAAUGUGUGGUCAUUAUUUUUCAAGUGUUUGGAUUCUUUGGUGUAUAAUACUUUCCCCUCACAAUUAAUCCCUAUGAGGAUUCAUUGCACACCUUCAUUUCUUCUGUUCAUUUUGACUGUAUUGGACAGUGCCAACUGUCAACUGCCAUGUGCCAACAAAUCCCCCACCCUGCAAGGCAGUGGGGUACUCAAGGUUUUUUUUAGGAAUAUUGAAGUGUUUAGAUUCUUUGGUGUCUUCAUUACACACUUUCAUUUCUUCUUUUCAUUUUGAUCUCACUGCUCUGCAGGAGGGGUGGGGAAUUAGUGGCAUCCCAUGUUCCAACUACCCCCCAACCCACAAGCCACUGGGUACUCAGUUUAUAUUUUAGAAAUUUUUGAGGUGUUUAGACUCUUUGGUGUGUAAUGAAUCCUCUUAGGGAUUCAUUAUGGGGAAAAGUUAUUUAUUUAUUUAUUACAUUUAUAAACUGCCCCAUCCAAAGGCUCUGGGCAGUGUACAACAAAUUAAAAAAAAACAACCUAAAAACACACAUAAUUUAAAACACAGUGCUAAAAACAACAUUAAACAAUUUUUAAAAACCUAUUUAAAACUAAUUAAAAUACUUUAAAAAACAGUUUACAGACCUUGGAAGGCCAGGUCAAACAAGUAAGUUUUUGGGGCUGGUGCGCGCUCUCUCUCUCUCUCUCUCUCUCUCUCUCUCUCUCUCACACACACACACACACACAACACACACACACACACACACACACACACAAUUUUAUUUGCUAUAUUCACAUAAUAACAUAGAACAGUACCAUAAUAACACAGUACAUUUAACAAUCAUGUUUUCCAAAUGUCACAAGAAAAUCCAGAAUCAAAUCUAGUACUGUUAAUAUAAUAAAUAUAAUCUGCCCAAAUACGGUGAAACUGUGAUUCUGCUCUCACAGCCUGCAUUAAUCUAAUCUUAUCAGUGAUCUUUUCUAAGAGCUCAAUUGACCACACCUUAUUAUGCCAUUGCUCAAUUGUUAAUUGAUCCAAAUAUUUCCAUUGUUGAACAAUUUGUGUUUUUGUUGCCAGGAAUAAAAAAAUUACUAGUUCCUUAUUAUAUUAUAAACUUUGCCAGAAAAUUUGGAGAACGAUGCAGUGGCCAACAGAUUGGAAGAGGUCAGUCUACAUACCCAUACCAAAGAUGGGAGACUUAACAGUUGCCCAAACCAUCCUUAUUUCACAAGCUAGCAAAAUAAUGCUCAGGAUCAUCCAACACAGAUUAGAGCCCUACGUGGAAAGGGAAAUGCUGAAUGUUCAAGCUGGUUUCAGAAACGGCAGAGGAACAAGAGAAAAUAUUGCUGAUGCAUGCUGGAUAAUUGAGAAAGCCAAAGAAUACCAGAAAGAAGUCAAUAUGUGCUUCAUUGACUAAAGAAAAGCCUUUGCUUGCGUCAACCAUGUCAAGUUGUGGAAUAUCAUUAGGAAAAUGGGCAUCCCAGAACAUCUCAUUGUUCUCAUGAGAAACCUAUACACAGGGCAGGAAGCCACAGUCCAGACAGAACAUGGUGAAACAGACUGGUUCCAGAUCCCUACAGUCUUUACUAAAUGUCUUUACUAGAUGUAAAGAAGACUAAACUAAUGACAACGGGUACAGCAACCAGUCUCAGAAUUGACAAUGAAGACAUUGAAGUGGUGGAUAGUUUCUGACCUUUAGGAUCAGCCAUCAACAGUAAAGGAUCCAGCAGUCAAGAAAUAUGCUGCAGACUAACACUUGGUAGGAUUUCAAAGAAGGCCUCGGAAAGGAUAUUUAGAUGCUGUGAUGUUUCUACAUCUACAAAGAUUAGAAUUGUUCGGACAAUGGUUUUUCCCGUGACACACUAUGGAUGUGAAAGCUGUAGUUUGAAGAAGGAAAAUAGAAAAAGCAUUGACACUUUUGAACUUUGGUGCUGGAGAAGUCUUUUGAGGAUACCAUGGACUGCCAGGGAAACAAACAAAUGGAUUAUAGAACAAAUCAAUCCAGAAUUUUCACUCGAGGCACAAAUGACCAGGCUCAAACUAUCAUAUUUUGGACACAUUAUGUGAAGAUCCAGCUUCCUUGAGAAGUCCAUAAUGCUGGGCAAAGUUGAAGGGAAGAGACUAAGACGACUAACAGCAAGGUGGAUGGACUCGAUUACGACAGCAAUUAUUGCACCACUGAGAGACCUUAAAGGCCAGGUUGAAGACAGAUUAUCCUGGAGAGUAUCUAUCUAUGUGGUCGCUAAGAGUUGAUACUGACUUGAAGGCACCUAUUCAAUCAAUCAAUCAAUAUAAUCUCCUGUUUAGAAGAGCAACUGUCACCAAGCACCACCGUCUGGAAUUUACGUGAGAGAUGGGAGGGGAACCACUGCAAAUUAGUGCCUCCUAUCUCCAACUCCCCCAGGCGGUCCAGUAGGCUACCAUGGUUGAUGGUAUCGAAACGCACUGAGAUAUCCAAAAUAACCAGAUCCAAGAGAAGUACCAUGAUCCAAGAGAAGUUCCUAUCAGUAUCAUGCAUUUGAAGGCCCUGUAUCCAGAUGUCGGGAUUUCCGACCUCCAUGAGAUAAGGUUGUUUACCCAGUCAAACGGCAGUGUGCCAAGAGAAGCAGAGGGCUCCAGGUGCCUGGACAACCCCAGUAAUUACCUUUCAGAAGUCAGGAAGGGCUCAGAGAGGUGGGCAACAGCUGCUGGGGGAUGGGCAGGUGCUGCCCAAGAGACAGCAGAAUGGUGGAGAGGGAAUAGCAAUGGCUCCACAGCUGCAGACGUGUGUAGAAAUGCUAGUGAAGGGGUUGGAGUUGGAUAAAAAGGCCCCUUGGGAGGCCAGGGAUUGGAUGGCCAAUCCACUUGCCUGGCCAGGGAAGAAGGAGCAAGCUGGAAGGGGGAGAGGAGUGUCCUCAAUGUAGGGCUUUAUUUAAGGCAGGGGUUGCCGAAGAUGAGACGAUCAGCAGGAAUGGGGUUUGUUGGUCUGGUGGACUUCCGGAGAGGAGCACGGACCUUUGCUCCUGCUGAUAGGCAAAGGAGUGGAGUGCCUAUACUGCCCUCCUCCCCUAACUCUUAUAUUGCCCUCCCAACUCUUAUAUUGCCCAACUCUUAGGCAAUGCCCGUGCCUAUGAUUCAGAGAGAGAGUGUGUGUGUGUGUGAGAAGGUUAAUUAGAGUUUUCCUCCUCCCUAAACACAGAAACCGGGUUCACUUUAAAAAUGAACACAGGUACAGUCACCUAAAAACAUACCUGUUUAGUCAGGCUUUUAUUUUAUAGUUUUAAAGCUUUGUUUUUAGAGUUUUAUUGUAUUUUAAAUUGUUUUAAUUAUGUUAAUGUUUUAAUAGGUUUUAUAUUGUGAACCACCAAGGGACUUUUUGUAUGGGGUGGUAUAUAAGUGUAUGAAAAAAAUAAUGAAUUAAAAAAAUCACACUAACACAUGCACAAGGGUACAGAGAUCUGUACACUCAUACAGCAUGAUGUGUGAAUCUAGGUAAUGUGUGAAUAGGCCUGGGGCAUCUUAGCAUUCUAACCACAGGAUGAAUUUCUCCAUGAGUACAGUGCUCCUCUCUCCAGACAAACUCUGUGUCCGCUGAGAGCAUGGUGAAGUGGUGUUUGAGAGCGUGUCACAACAGAGAGUUACUGCCAAUACUUCCCCUUUUAUGUAAUGCCUGAACAGGGCACAGGGCUCGUUCUUGGUCAUUUAGCUACACUGUUUAAAUUCUCUUCCCCCUCCUCGAAGCCAUGCAUACUGUAUGUAUGCCUGCUUUUUGAGGUUAUAAGACUUUUGUAGUUUAGUUUACUUUGUGCCCCUUUAGGUAAAAAUCUAUUGGUGUUUGAUGAUUAGUGGACUUGCUGGUUUGAUUCUAUGUAGAUUUGUAGCCACUAUGGUUGUUCAGCUGGUCUAAAGAUCUUUAAAAGCCUUAGUUCUCCUUAAGGACCUUUGUUUAUUGCAUAACAAAAGAUAAAUAAAAACAAACAUUUCAAGGCCAAAUAUGUCAGCUUCAGUGUCCUUCCUACUCUUUCUGUGGAUCACAAUUUUAUAUUGUUGCAACUUCUACUCUAAUUGCACACAACCAGGUAACAAUUUCCUAAUCAGUGAAUAAGGCGGGGUGGGGAGAGGAAAGGAAAGAGUGAGCCAAGGAUAUGCAGCUGUGUUAUCUUCAUUCCAUUACAAACUAUUUAUUUAUUUAUUUAUUUAUUUAUUUAUUUAUUUAUUUAUUUAUUUAUUUAUUUAUUUGACACAUUUGUAUACCACUCAAAACGCAAGUCUCUGGGCGGUUUACAAUAAAACAAUAAAUCAACAGAUAAAUAGAUUAAAACAUUACAACAAUUAAAAUUUAAAAUGUUAAAACUAUUAAAAGCACAAUUAAAACAAAAUCUAAUUAAAAGCUUGGGUGAACAAAUGCGUCUUGACUACCUUUUUAAAAGUUGUAAGAGAUGGGGAGGCUCUUAUUUCAGCAGGAAGUGUGUUCCAAAGCCUUGGGGCAGCAAUGGAGAAGGCCUUCCCUGAGUAGCUACCAGACGAGCCUCUCCAGAUGAUCUCAAUGGGCGGUGUGGUUCAUAAUGAAGAAGGAGUCCUCUUAAAUACCCAGGGCCCAAGCUGUUUAGGGCUUUAUAGGUUAUAACCCAAACCUUGUAUUUUGCCCAGAAACUAAUCAGCAACCAGUGUAGAUCUUUUAAGAUGGGAGUGAAAUGGUCUCUCCGAGAUGACCCAGAGACCAACUUGGCUGCGGCAUUCUGGACCAACUGCAGUUUCUGGACUAUGUACAAAGGCAGCCCCACAUAGAGUGCAUUGCAGUAAUCAAGUCUGGAGAUGACCAGCAGAUGUACUACUGUUCUGAGGUCAUUUAUCUCAAGAAACGGAGGCAGGUGGCAUAUCAGCCGAAGCUGAUAAAAGGCACCUGUGGCCACUGUCUCAAUCUGGGACACCAGGGAGAGUUUUGUGUCCAGAAGACUGUGUACCUGUUCCUUCUGGGGAAGUGUGACCCCAUCCAGAACUGGCAGAUCAAAAUCAUCUCCUGAGUUCCGACCCCACACAACAAGUACCUCCGUCUUAUCUGGAUUCAGCUUCAGCUUGUUACCUCUCAUCCAGUCCAUCGCUGCCUCCAGGCAGGCAUUUAGGGAGGUUAUGCCUUCUCCUGAUGAUGUUCACAUGGACAAAAAUAUUUGGGUGUCAUCAGCAUACUGAUAACACCCUGCACCAAAUCUGAUUAUCUCUCCCAGCGGUUUCAUGUAGACAGUUAAACAACAUCGGAGACAAUACAGAGCCCUGAGGGACACCAUACCGAAGUUCAGAUAUUGAAGAACAACAGUCUCCGAGGGACAUCAUCUGGAAUCUGCCUGAGAGGUAAGAGUGGAACCACUGCAAAGCAGUGCCUCCCACCCCCAACCCCCUCAGACACUCCAGAAGGAUACUAUGGUCAAUAGUAUCAAAAGCCACGGAGAGGUCCAAAAGGACCAACAGAGUCACACUUCCUCUGUCAGUUCCCAGCUAGAGAUCAUCCCUCUGGCUGACUAAGGCAGUCUCCACCCCAUAGCCCACCCGAAUCAGGUUUCAAAUGGGCCUAGAUAAUAAUUUUCAUCCAAGACUGCCUGGAGUUGGGAGGCUACCACUCUCUCAAUUUACUUUGCCCAACCACUUUAAUAAGCAAUGUACUUAACAGUCUCUCUUAACUCUUCCUUACCAUUUACACUGGUUUUAAGUUUAUCUCUAUAUAUUGCCUCCCUGAUUUUUCUUUGCACCAGACAUCGUUCCACUUCCCACACAUUCACUUUAAUAGGCAUUCUUAUUCCAUCAUGUUUUUUUGCCAUGUGCACUGUCCAUGGUCUCUCUGUAUUAAUAUAUUCCAUGUCUGCUAUGUGUUCUUUGAAUCUGAUGGCUUGGCUUACUCUCUUCCCGUUUCUCCUAUAUAAAACUCCCCACACUCUUUGCUUCUUAUUUUAUAUACGACUCCUUUCAAUUUACAACUCCCCUCCCCUACUUCUCAUACUGGGCAGUCUGUCCUUUCGCAUUUCCUAUCAUAGAGCCUCGUUCUCAGGGGUGGAGCCACCAUUGUGAGAAUGGGUUCAAAGAACCUGGGCCACCAAUGAAUAGGGCCGCCGAAGCCUGCAGGGGGCGUGGCUCGGGCUCUGGAGGAGCACAGAGCAAACUCCUCCUUCCCAUGCCGGGCCUUCCAAGAGCCCCAAGUGAACUCUCUGCUUAUCAUUUCAGGCAGUGCUUGCUGCCUGACAGCACGUAUUUCCCUUUCUCUCCCUCCAGAGAGGGAGAGAAAGGGAAAUACAUCCUAUCAGGCAGCCAGCUGAGAGCUUGCUUGGGCUCUUGGGAGCCUGGGCCAACCUCCUUUGCUCGUGACAUCACUUGCAUGGAGUGUAACUGGAGGGGGCUGCCGAGUGGGGCUGGAACUAGGCCGCCAUUUGGUUGGCUCUGCGACUGCUCGUUCUCACAAACGAUUGUUUCAGUGUCUUAGCUGAAUGAACUACUACAUUAGCUUUGAUGUCCUAUUUGUGUCAAGUUCUCUGGCAUUGUCUGAUAACGUUAUCAGAUAUAAAUGGAAUCUUCAAGACAGGAAAACCAGGUACAUAUUUAAUUCCUCCCAUUCUCCUUAGGGGAAAUUUAUAACUAUUAGUUUCCCCCAAAUCUAUGGCCCUUUCUUUGGACUGUUCUUUAUAUUCCUCUCCAUCAUGUGAGUUUUUAUAAUCUGUGGGUGUGUUGAAGUACUAUUUAUAAUCAAAUCCUUCUUUUCUGGAACAAAGCAGACAUAUUUGAUGCUAAAACGUUUGUUUUUAUUUGUCUUUUUUUAAUGCAAUAAAUGAAGGUCAUUAAGGAGAAAUUGUGAGUCAUCUUAUGCGUAUUGUGUUUCCUGUAUACCAACUAAUACAAAGUCUUAGUUCUGCUUCUGGAGGGUGGAUUUUGAUCCCCUAUAUUUUAGAAUGUGAAAUAUUUUACAAUCUCUGACAAUUUUUAAAAAGCAUUUGAAAACCCACCUCUUCACCCAAGCUUUUUCAGGUUUUAAAAUUGUUUAGGUUUUAAUCUGUGUUUGAUUUUAAAUUAUCUAGAUUGUUUUAAUUUUUUGUGUGUAUGUUUCUAACUUGUUUUUAUGUUAUUGUUAACCGCCCAGAGAUGAAAGUUUGGGGUGAUGUACAAAUCUGAUAAGUAAGUGAGUAAAUAAUAAAUAUUGACCAUGCAAAACGA